UUAACUAUUAUAUAGUACUCAGACAGCAAUAAUUCAAGGGUUUGGGUCCUCUGGCCCGCCCGAGGGCCGGCCAAAGCAACUGAAGUUUGGUACACAAAGGGUGAGAAUGGGACCGUGAGGUCGCCGAUUCUGUAAUGAUCCUUCCGCAGGUUCACCUAAAAAGAAUGAUGUUAGUAUUUGGUUGCGAGGUCUGAAAGACGAGGGGGGCAAAAAGAAAGGAUGUUUUGACUCACCUACGGAAA
RNAcentral lists this unclassified non-coding RNA (242 nucleotides) under uncultured fungus. RNAcentral describes it as "sequence contains ITS1". Lineage: Eukaryota; Fungi. The record is from RNAcentral.